This 406-nucleotide ribosomal RNA is filed under the name uncultured bacterium. RNAcentral's name for it is "partial 16S ribosomal RNA". It matches the Rfam family "Bacterial small subunit ribosomal RNA", at positions 30 to 526 of the family's 1533-position model. The record is from RNAcentral.
AUUGAACGCUGGCGGCAGGCCUAACACAUGCAAGUCGAGCGAGCGGCGGACGGGUGCGUAAUGUUUGGGGCUCUGCCCGAUAGAGGGGAAUAACUCCUGGAAACUGUGGCUAAUACCGCAUACUAUCGGCUGAACCCAUAUGGGAUUAGCUAGUUGGUGGGGUAAUGGCUCACCUAGGCGACGAUCUCUGGCGGGUCUGAGAGGAUGAACAGCCACACUGGGAGUGAGACACGGCCCAGACUCUGACGGGAGGCCGCAGUGGGGAAGAUUGCACAAUGGGAGCAAGCCUGAUGCAGCCAUGCCGCGUGUAUGAAGAAGGCCUUCGGGUUGGAAAGUACUUUAAGUCGCGAGGCGUUACCGAAAGAAGAAGCACCGGCUAACUCCGUGCCAGCAGCCGCGGUAAUUC